GAGGACUUCAGUUGGUCGGCCUAACUGGUCAGAACCGGCCGUCUCUUCCUUGUUUCUGAAUCCCGCCCGGAGUUCAUUCUUCGGGUGUGGACUUCAGAUCGUUUACCUUGAAAAAAUUAGAGUGUUCAAAGCGGGCGUUUGCUUGAAUAUAUUAGCAUGGAAUAAUGGAAUAGGACCCUGGUCCUAUUUUGUUGGUUUUGAGGACUAGAGUAAUGAUUAAUAGGGAUAGUUGGGGGCAUUCAUAUUUAAUUGUCAGAGGUGAAAUUCUUGGAUUUAUGAAAGAUGAACUUCUGCGAAAGCAUUUGCCAAGGAUGUUUUCAUUAAUCAAGAACGAAAGUUAGGGGAUCGAAGACGAUCAGAUACCGUCGUAGUCUUAACCAUAAACUAUGCCGACUAGGGAUUGGGAGCGGUUUGUUCAUUGACCCUCUCAGCACCUUACGAGAAAUCAAAGUUUUUGGGUUCCGGGGGGAGUAUGGUCGCAAGGCUGAAACUUAAAGGAAUUGACGGAGGGGCACCACCAGGAGUGGAGCCUGCGGCUUAAUUUGACUCAACACGGGAAAACUUACCAGGCCCAGACAUAGGAAGGAUUGACAGAUUGAGAGCUCUUUCUUGAUUCUAUGGGUGGGGGUGCAUGGCCGUUCUUAGUUGGGGGAGUGAUUUGUCUGGUUAAUUCCGUUUACGAACGAGACCUUAACCUGCUAAAUAGUUACUACAAUGCUCUGUAUCGGCGGACAACUUCUUA
RNAcentral lists this ribosomal RNA (742 nucleotides) under uncultured eukaryote. RNAcentral describes it as "SSU rRNA". It matches the Rfam family "Eukaryotic small subunit ribosomal RNA", at positions 645 to 1413 of the family's 1831-position model. The record is from RNAcentral.